UAGUCCACGCCCUAAACGAUGAACACUAGUCGUCGCGAUGCUUGUCAUUGCGGUGAUGCAGUUAACACGUUAAGUGUUCCGCCUGGGGAGUACGGUCGCAAGAUUAAAACUCAAAGGAAUAGACGGGGACCCGCACAAGUGGUGGAGCAUGUGGUUUAAUUCGAAGAUACGCGAAGAACCUUACCUAGCCUUGACAUACCGAGAAUCUUCCAGAGAUGGAGGAGUGCCUGCUUGCAGGAAUUCGGAUACAGGUGCUGCACGGCUGUCGUCAGCUCGUGUCGUGAGAUGUUGGGUUAAGUCCCGCAACGAGCGCAACCCUCGUCGUUAGUUGCUAACAGUUCGGCUGAGCACUCUAGCGAGACUGCCUUCGUAAGGAGGAGGAAGGUGAGGACGACGUCAAGUCAUCAUGGCCCUUAUGGCUAGGGCUACACACGUGCUACAAUGGGGGUNUACAGAGAGUCGCAAUACCGCGAGGUGGAGCCAAUCUA
Molecule: ribosomal RNA, 488 nt
Filed under: uncultured bacterium
Lineage: Bacteria
Description: bacterial SSU rRNA
Rfam family: Bacterial small subunit ribosomal RNA
Source: RNAcentral